RNAcentral lists this ribosomal RNA (318 nucleotides) under Pleurehdera stellata. Its description in RNAcentral is "partial large subunit ribosomal RNA". The record is from RNAcentral. Lineage: Eukaryota; Metazoa; Mollusca; Gastropoda; Pleurobranchida; Pleurobranchidae.
GCUGUCUCAGAAUUAUUUUAUCGAAUUUACUGUAUAGAUGAAAAAGUCUAUAAAUCCAAAAAAGACGAGAAGACCCUUAGAAUUUAAAUAAAACCGAAUAGUUUUUCGUAAUAUUUUUGUUGGGGCGACAAGAAGACAAUUAACUUUAACUCUUCUGAUAAUAUAAGACGAUUAGUAAUAAGGUCGGAUAAAUUACCUGAGGGAUAACAGCAUAAUUUUAUGAUUAAGUUUGUGACCUCGAUGUUGGACUAGGAAAUUAAUAGACUAGCCGUUUAUUAUAUUGGUUCUGUUCGAACUGUUUUUCCUACAUGAUCUGAG